AGUGAACGCUGGCGGUAUGCCUAACACAUGCAAGUCGAACGGCAACACAGUAAGAUCUUUCUCUUACGGUUGGCGAGUGGCGGACGGGUGAGGAAUACAUCGCAAUCUACUUUUUCUUGGGUGAUAACGUAAGGAAACUUACGCUAAUACCUCAUACGACCUACGGCUUAAAUCAAUAGAUCUUCGGACCUUUCCCGACUCAAUUAGACGAAGUCGGAUUAGCUUGUUUGCGGGGUAAAGUCCCACCAAGGCGACGAGACGUAGCUGGGCUGAGAGGAUGAUCCACCAUAGUGGAGAGACGCGACGGUCAAGCCUACUACGGGAGGCAGCAGGGGAGAAUAUUGGAUAAUGGGAGGAAGGCUGAACCAGCCAUACGGCGUGGGUGAAGAAGGCCUUAGGGUUGUAAAGCCCUUUUGUUGAGAAAGAAAAGCAGAAGGUUAAUACCCCGCUGUGCUGACGGUAAAUCAAGAAUAAGCACCGGAGAACUUC
Molecule: ribosomal RNA, 489 nt
Filed under: uncultured bacterium
Lineage: Bacteria
Description: partial 16S ribosomal RNA
Rfam family: Bacterial small subunit ribosomal RNA
Source: RNAcentral